Molecule: ribosomal RNA, 524 nt
Filed under: uncultured bacterium
Lineage: Bacteria
Description: partial 16S ribosomal RNA
Rfam family: Bacterial small subunit ribosomal RNA
Source: RNAcentral
GACGAACGCUGGCGGCGUGCCUAAUACAUGCAAGUCGAGCGCAGGAAAUCGACGGAACCCUUCGGGGGGAAGUCGACGGAAUGAGCGGCGGACGGGUGAGUAACACGUAAAGAACCUGCCCUCAGGUCUGGGAUAACCACGAGAAAUCGGGGCUAAUACCGGAUGGGUCAUCGGACCGCAUGGUCCGAGGAUGAAAGGCGCUUCGGCGUCGCCUGGGGAUGGCUUUGCGGUGCAUUAGCUAGUUGGUGGGGUAAUGGCCCACCAAGGCGACGAUGCAUAGCCGACCUGGGAGGGUGAUCGGCCACACGGGGACGGAGACACGGCCCAGACUCCUAAGGGAGGCAGCAGUAGGGAAUCUUCCACAAUGGACGAAAGGCUGAUGGAGCAACGCCGCGUGAACGAUGAAGGCCUUCGGGUCGUAAAGUUCUGUUGUAAGGGAAGAACAAGUGCCGCAGGCAAUGGCGGCACCUUGACGGUACCUUGCGAGAAAGCCACGGCUAACUACGUGCCAGCAGCCGCAGUAA